AUUGAACGCUGGCGGCAGGCCCAACACAUGCAAGUCGAGCGGUAACACAGGGAGCUUGCUCCUGGGUGACGAGCGGCGGACGGGUGAGUAAUGUCUGGGAAACUGCCUGAUGGAGGGGGAUAACUACUGGAAACGGUAGCUAAUACCGCAUAACGUCACAAGACCAAAGAGGGGGACCUUCGGGCCUCUUGCCAUCAGAUGUGCCCAGAUGGGAUUAGCUAGUAGGUGGGGUAACGGCUCACCUAGGCGACGAUCCCUAGCUGGUCUGAGAGGAUGACCAGCCACACUGGAACUGAGACACGGUCCAGACUCCUACGGGAGGCAGCAGUGGGGAAUAUUGCACAAUGGGCGCAAGCCUGAUGCAGCCAUGCCGCGUGUAUGAAGAAGGCCUUCGGGUUGUAAAGUACUUUCAGCGGGGAGGAAGGCGAUAAGGUUAAUAACCUUGUCGAUUGACGUUACCCGCAGAAGAAGCACCGGCUAACUCCGUGCCAGCAGCCGCCGUAA
RNAcentral lists this ribosomal RNA (504 nucleotides) under uncultured bacterium. RNAcentral describes it as "partial 16S ribosomal RNA". It matches the Rfam family "Bacterial small subunit ribosomal RNA", at positions 30 to 523 of the family's 1533-position model. The record is from RNAcentral.